RNAcentral lists this ribosomal RNA (327 nucleotides) under uncultured eukaryote. RNAcentral's name for it is "partial 18S ribosomal RNA". It matches the Rfam family "Eukaryotic small subunit ribosomal RNA", at positions 1470 to 1796 of the family's 1831-position model. The record is from RNAcentral.
CCCUUAGAUGUUCUGGGCCGCACACGCGCUACACUGAAGGAGGCAGCGUGUACUCCUGGAUCGAAAGAUUUGGGUAACCCGCGAAUCUCCUUCGUGCUAGGGAUUGAGGUUUGCAAUUACCCUUCAUGAACGAGGAAUUCCCAGUAAGUGCAAGUCAUAAGCUUGCGCUGACUACGUCCCUGCCCUUUGUACACACCGCCCGUCGCUACUACCGAUUGAAUGAUUUAGUGAGGACUUCGGACUGGGACCGAUGCGGCUUUCGGGCUGCGUCGGUAUUCUGGAAAGAUGUCCAAACUGUAUCAUUUAGAGGAAGUAAAAGUCGUAACA